UGGGGGCUGACUACCAUGCAAGUCGAGCGAGAAAGGCCUUCGGGCUGAGUACAGCGGCGGACGGGUGAGUAACGCGUAGGAAUCUACCUGGUAGUGGGGGACAACUUGGGGAAACUCAAGCUAAUACCGCAUACGCCCCAUGGGGGAAAGCGGGGGACCUUCGGGCCUCGCGCUAUCAGAGGAGCCUGCGUAGGAUUAGCUAGUUGGUGAGGUAAAGGCUCACCAAGGCGACGAUCCUUAGCUGGUCUGAGAGGAUGAUCAGCCACACUGGGACUGAGACACGGCCCAGACUCCUACGGGAGGCAGCAGUGGGGAAUAUUGCGCAAUGGAGGAAACUCUGACGCAGCCGUGCCGCGUGUGUGAAGAAGGCCUUCGGGUUGUAAAGCACUUUCAAUUGGGAAGAAAGGUUGUUGCCUAAUACGCAACAGCUGUGACGUUACCUUUAGAAGAAGCACCGGCUAACUCCGUGCCAGCAGCCGCGGUAAUACGGAGGGUGCGAGCGUUAAUCGGAAUUACUGGGCGUAAAGCGCGCGUAGGCGGUUUGUUAAGUCGGAUGUGAAAGCCCCGGGCUCAACCUGGGAAUUGCAUUCGAUACUGGCCGACUAGAGUACGAGAGAGGGAGGUAGAAUUCCACGUGUAGCGGUGAAAUGCGUAUAUAUGUGGAGGAAUACCGGUGGCGAAGGCGGCCUCCUGGCUCGAUACUGACGCUGAUGUGCGAAAGCGUGGGUAGCAAACAGGAUUAGAUACCCUGGUAGUCCACGCCGUAUACGAUGUCUACUAGCCGUUGGGAGACUUGAUUUCUUAGUGCGCAGCUAACGCACUAGUAGACCGCCUGGGGAGUACGGGCUCGCACGGGUUAAACUCAGAUGAAUUGGACUGAGGGUCCGCCCACCAAGCC
Molecule: ribosomal RNA, 898 nt
Filed under: uncultured bacterium
Lineage: Bacteria
Description: bacterial SSU rRNA
Rfam family: Bacterial small subunit ribosomal RNA
Source: RNAcentral